CUCCUCCCUUCUCAAACCGUGCUCAAACUGAUUUUCUGAUAUCCCAAUAUUAGCAGCUUCAUAAUUUCAACGUCUUUCUCUCAAAUGAUACUCCAAGAUUUCACUUCAGCAUUUCGAUUUCUGUUCUAUCCACUUAGCUGUUUUAUCCAUUUACUUGCUUCUCUCUUCCGUAAUAGCCCACGUCUUUGAGUCAUACUGAUGUAUA
Molecule: non-coding RNA, 205 nt
Organism: Paramuricea clavata
Lineage: Eukaryota; Metazoa; Cnidaria; Anthozoa; Malacalcyonacea; Plexauridae
Source: the annotation of a GenBank genome assembly